This is a small nuclear RNA of Sorex fumeus (smoky shrew), 182 nucleotides long. RefSeq annotates it as U2 spliceosomal RNA. The transcript has a single exon. NCBI's taxonomy places the organism in Eukaryota, Metazoa, Chordata, Mammalia, Eulipotyphla, Soricidae. The record is from RefSeq and is a predicted model, not a curated record.
AUCACUACUCAGCCUUUUGGCUAAGGUCAAGCGUAGUAUCUGUUCUUAUCAGUUUAGUAUCUGAUAUGUCCUCUAUCCAAGGACAAUAUAUUAAAUGAUUUUUUGGAGCAAGAAGAAGGAAUAGGAGCUUUCUCCGCCCACUCCACACAUAUUGUAGUACCUCUAGGAACGGUGUACCAAAA